This is a long non-coding RNA of Solea senegalensis (Senegalese sole), 446 nucleotides long. RefSeq lists it as uncharacterized. The record is from RefSeq and is a predicted model, not a curated record. The transcript is spliced from 3 exons. NCBI's taxonomy places the organism in Eukaryota, Metazoa, Chordata, Actinopteri, Pleuronectiformes, Soleidae.
UGGGAGAGGAAAGGGGAAAUGACGUCACAAGUCAACCCGGAAAACGGCACAAACAGAAGUUGGAGCGGUGAGCUUUCUUUACCUCGCGACAAGAUGAAGUGCCAUGGAUGUCAAAGAGCUGACGAUAUCCAGAACACAGUUAACGAGAUGUUCUGGCCAGGAAGCUGUGAAAGAGCCCCGCCUCUCUUUGCAGGACACCAUGGCCACAAUAACAGAACUACGCAUCCUCCUUGUAACAAGCAGCAGGACACUUUCCAACAUUGCCAACAGAGAGUCUUCACAAAACCUACAUCAGGGUCUUCAGGUCAAGCCUUGUGAUGCUCACGGUGAAAACAUUUCAGCAAUACAAGCUACAGUCUUCGCUGUGCGAUGACUAGUUUGGAAGGCGUGUCUGCUCCACGAGCAGUUAGACUGCACACAGGUAAACACACACACACACACACACA